Molecule: non-coding RNA, 84 nt
Filed under: Halalkalibacter akibai
Lineage: Bacteria; Bacillati; Bacillota; Bacilli; Caryophanales; Bacillaceae
Also listed under: 1 other name
Description: Bacillus akibai c-di-GMP-II sequence
Rfam family: Cyclic di-GMP-II riboswitch aptamer
Source: RNAcentral
CCAAAAUAGGGAAGCGAUGAUGUAUAGCCUGUGUUUGGACACCUUGGGGUAUACGUAGCUAGUGGUGUAACCGGCCCUCUUAGG